This 860-nucleotide long non-coding RNA is filed under the name Homo sapiens (human). Its description in RNAcentral is "non-protein coding lnc-PYCR3-2:1". Lineage: Eukaryota; Metazoa; Chordata; Mammalia; Primates; Hominidae. The record is from RNAcentral.
CCCACCUGGCUCCGCGGGCAGCCGGAGCGCACCCGGCCGGAAGCCGCUGUCGGGGAGCCGGCGGUGGGGCUGGACGCAGGUGCAACUGACAUGGGUGAACCCCAGGGAUCCAUGCGGAUUCUAGUGACAGGGGGCUCUGGGCUGGUAGGCAAAGCCAUCCAGAAGGUGGUAGCAGAUGGAGCUGGACUUCCUGGAGAGGACUGGGUGUUUGUCUCCUCUAAAGACGCCGAUCUCACGUGAGUGAGCCCAUCCCCAGAUCAGCCCUUCCUCUCCAUCCUACCCCCCACCCUAGAACUAAGAGUUCCAGGCUGGGCAUGUUGCUGAGUCUAACAGUAGCUGUGUUUCUGGGUCCUUCCUGCCAGGUGGCUGGCCUGGCCUGGGUGUGCUUGGCUGUGUUCCUGGAAAAACAAACACCCUCCCAUCUCUUCCUGGAAGCCUGCACCCUCAUAUCAGCCAGGCCCUGGGGCCACCCUCCCUUUUGACUGUCCCUCCUGCCAUAGUCCCACCCAGUUCCUGCACUUGGCACCCAACCCUGGGGUGCUGGUUCCCUCCAGAGCCUCCUGACAGCCUGGCUUCCUACAGGGAUACAGCACAGACCCGCGCCCUGUUUGAGAAGGUCCAACCCACACACGUCAUCCAUCUUGCUGCAAUGGUGGGGGGCCUGUUCCGGAAUAUCAAAUACAAUUUGGACUUCUGGGUAAGUGAGGGUGGCCCCAGCAAGCACUGGAAACCAGGAUCCCAGGUUCUGGGAACUUCCUGGCGGGCUUCCCACUCUCACAGGCCCACAUUCCCACCCCAGGAAGUCCCUGAGGAUCAGGGCUUGGCACAGCCUGGUGGGGGCAGCCCCUGAGGGACCCCCA